RNAcentral lists this ribosomal RNA (585 nucleotides) under uncultured bacterium. Its description in RNAcentral is "bacterial SSU rRNA". It matches the Rfam family "Bacterial small subunit ribosomal RNA", at positions 338 to 916 of the family's 1533-position model. The record is from RNAcentral.
CCUACGGGAGGCAGCAGUGGGGAAUUUUGGACAAUGGGCGCAAGCCUGAUCCAGCCAUGCCGCGUGUCUGAAGAAGGCCUUCGGGUUGUAAAGGACUUUUGUUAGGGAGCAAGUCCUGCAGGUUAAGAGCUAGUAGGGAUGAGAGUACCUAAAGAAUAAGCACCGGCUAACUACGUGCCAGCAGCCGCGGUAAUACGUAGGGUGCAAGCGUUAAUCGGAAUUACUGGGCGUAAAGGGUGCGCAGGCGGUAUUGUAAGCCAGAUGUGAAAUCCCCGGGCUCAACCUGGGAACUGCGUUUGGAACUGCAAUGCUAGAGUGUGUCAGAGGGGGGUGGAAUUCCACGUGUAGCAGUGAAAUGCGUAGAGAUGUGGAGGAACACCGAUGGCGAAGGCAGCCCCCUGGGAUAACACUGACGCUCAGGCACGAAAGCGUGGGGAGCAAACAGGAUUAGAUACCCUGGUAGUCCACGCCCUAAACGAUGACAACUAGCCGUUGGGAACUUCGGUUCUUGGUGGCGUAGCUAACGCGAGAAGUUGUCCGCCUGGGGAGUACGGUCGCAAGAUUAAAACUCAAAUGAAUUGACGG